CGUAAAUGCAUGGAGAAGAAGAGAAUGAAUUCCAAAACCUAGCUUGAUCUUCUUUCUUUGAUAACUUUUGAUCCGGAGCUCCGAUUGACGAGCCGUUUGCGGCCACGCGUCGGACUCGUUGAGUUCUUCAAUUCUAUUCAAAUAAAACAGGGUCCACUAGACUUGAUUUCUUGUGGGUAUUGCCCAAGGAUCAGUGGGUAAAGGUAGUGUGUAUGUGAAUGUUGAUGCUUGUUGGAGGCUUGUUGGUGAUCAAGCUUGGUUUGGGGCUGUUUGAUUGAGCUUGGAGGGGCUGUAAUUUUGAGUUGUGAGGCUGCCUUGGGUGAAUUAAGUGAUUGGCCAAGGUAUGGUUUAAGUUUCGCACGUUUAAUAUUUACGGUGUUGUGAAAACUUAGGUUAGAGGAACCAUAGAAUAAGUUGGAUUGUUUGUUGUAUUUAAUGAUUAGCCUUAUAAUAUUGUUAGAAUAGAUUUUUUAGUGAAUUUAUAUAUUAGAAUUAUGAGGUGUGAAAGUUAUUAAUGGUGUGCUCUUAUAUUUAUUUAUGAUGGAUUAGAAUUGGUGUUUGUUAAUAAGGAUGUAGAGUUGUGUUGUGGUGGUAUUGUAUAUGCUGUAACUAAUUAUGUAAUGAUCGGAAUUGCAUGAGACCAAGUUUGGGCUAAAUUU
This is a non-coding RNA of Arachis ipaensis, 659 nucleotides long. Lineage: Eukaryota; Viridiplantae; Streptophyta; Magnoliopsida; Fabales; Fabaceae. The record is from RefSeq and is a predicted model, not a curated record.